GUGCCAGCGGCCGCGGUAAUACCGGCAGCACGAGUGGUGGCCGCUAUUAUUGGGCCUAAAGCGUCCGUAGCCGGCCGGGCAAGUCCGUCGGGAAAUCCACCCGCUUAACGGGUGGGCGUCCGGCGGAAGCUGCUCGGCUUGGGACCGGAGGACCCGAGGGGUACGUCCGGGGUAGGAGUGAAAUCCCGUAAUCCCGGACGGACCGCCGGUGGCGAAAGCGCCUCGGGAGGACAGAUCCGACGGUGAGGGACGAAAGCUAGGGUCUCGAACCGGAUUAGAUACCCCUGUAGUCC
This 293-nucleotide ribosomal RNA is filed under the name uncultured bacterium. Its description in RNAcentral is "partial 16S ribosomal RNA". It matches the Rfam family "Archaeal small subunit ribosomal RNA", at positions 455 to 747 of the family's 1478-position model. The record is from RNAcentral.